Molecule: non-coding RNA, 46 nt
Organism: Ananas comosus (pineapple)
Lineage: Eukaryota; Viridiplantae; Streptophyta; Magnoliopsida; Poales; Bromeliaceae
Source: Rfam
AUAAAGGCGGUUGUGACCGCCACUAUAAUUUAAUUUAAUAUUUUUU